This 470-nucleotide ribosomal RNA is filed under the name uncultured bacterium. Its description in RNAcentral is "bacterial SSU rRNA". It matches the Rfam family "Bacterial small subunit ribosomal RNA", at positions 335 to 802 of the family's 1533-position model. The record is from RNAcentral.
ACUCCUACGGGAGGCAGCAGUGGGGAAUAUUGCACAAUGGGGAAACCCUGAUGCAGCCAUGCCGCGUGUGUGAAGAAGGCCUUCGGUUGUAAGCACUUUCAGUAGGGAGGAAGGUAGUGUAGUUAACACCUGCAUUAUUUGACGUUACCUACAGAAGAAGCACCGGCUAACUCCGUGCCAGCAGCCGCGGUAAUACGGAGGGGUGCGAGCGUUAAUCGGAAUUACUGGGCGUAAAGCGCAUGCAGGCGGCCUGUUAAGUCAGAUGUGAAAGCCCGGGGGCUUAACCUCGGAAUUGCAUUUGAAACUGGCAGGCUAGAGUCUUGUAGAGGGGGUAGAAUUUCAGGUGUAGCGGUGAAAUGCGUAGAGAUCUGAAGGAAUACCAGUGGCGAAGGCGGCCCCUGGACAAAGACUGACGCUCAGAUGCGAAAGCGUGGGGAGCAAACAGGAUUAGAUACCCUGGUAGACUGUCA